GAUGAACGCUGGCGGCGUGCUUAACACAUGCAAGUCGAACGGUGAAGCCAAGCUUGCUUGGUGGAUCAGUGGCGAACGGGUGAGUAACACGUGAGCAACCUGCCCUGGACUCUGGGAUAAGCGCUGGAAACGGCGUCUAAUACUGGAUAUGGGCUUCUACCGCAUGGUGGGGGUUGGAAAGAUUUUUUGGUCUGGGAUGGGCUCGCGGCCUAUCAGCUUGUUGGUGAGGUAAUGGCUCACCAAGGCGUCGACGGGUAGCCGGCCUGAGAGGGUGACCGGCCACACUGGGACUGAGACACGGCCCAGACUCCUACGGGAGGCAGCAGUGGGGAAUAUUGCACAAUGGGCGAAAGCCUGAUGCAGCAACGCCGCGUGAGGGAUGACGGCCUUCGGGUUGUAAACCUCUUUUAGCAGGGAAGAAGCGAAAGUGACGGUACCUGCAGAAAAAGCGCCGGCUAACUACGUGCCAGCAGCCGCAGUAA
Molecule: ribosomal RNA, 482 nt
Filed under: uncultured bacterium
Lineage: Bacteria
Description: partial 16S ribosomal RNA
Rfam family: Bacterial small subunit ribosomal RNA
Source: RNAcentral